RNAcentral lists this transfer RNA (73 nucleotides) under Saccoglossus kowalevskii. RNAcentral describes it as "tRNA-Thr". It matches the Rfam family "tRNA". From Rfam's summary of the family: Transfer RNA (tRNA) molecules are approximately 80 nucleotides in length. Lineage: Eukaryota; Metazoa; Hemichordata; Enteropneusta; Harrimaniidae. The record is from RNAcentral.
GCCUUCUUAGCUCAGUGGUUAGAGCACUGGUCUUGUAAACCAGGGGAUAUGAGUUCGAAUCUCAUAGGGGUCU